This 492-nucleotide ribosomal RNA is filed under the name uncultured bacterium. Its description in RNAcentral is "partial 16S ribosomal RNA". It matches the Rfam family "Bacterial small subunit ribosomal RNA", at positions 29 to 507 of the family's 1533-position model. The record is from RNAcentral.
AGUGAACGCUGGCGGUAGGCCUAACACAUGCAAGUCGAACGGCAGCACAGUAAGAGCUUGCUCUUACGGGUGGCGAGUGGCGGACGGGUGAGGAAUACAUCGGAAUCUACUUUUUCGUGGGGGAUAACGUAGGGAAACUUACGCUAAUACCGCAUACGACCUACGGGUGAAAGCAGGGGAUCUUCGGACCUUGCGCGAUUGAAUGAGCCGAUGUCGGAUUAGCUAGUUGGCGGGGUAAAGGCCCACCAAGGCGACGAUCCGUAGCUGGUCUGAGAGGAUGAUCAGCCACACUGGAACUGGGACACGCUCCAGGCUCCUACGGGAGGCAGCAGUGGGGAAUAUUGGACAAUGGGCGCAAGCCUGAUCCAGCCAUACCGCGUGGGUGAAGAAGGCCUUCGGGUUGUAAAGCCCUUUUGUUGGGAAAGAAAAGCAGCAGGUUAAUACCCCGCUGUUCUGACGGUACCCAAAGAAUAAGCACCGGCUAACUUCGUG